This 287-nucleotide ribosomal RNA is filed under the name uncultured bacterium. Its description in RNAcentral is "partial 16S ribosomal RNA". It matches the Rfam family "Bacterial small subunit ribosomal RNA", at positions 45 to 334 of the family's 1533-position model. The record is from RNAcentral.
AUGCUUUACACAUGCAAGUCGAACGUGAAAGGGGGGCAACCCCCAAGUAGAGUGGCGAACGGGUGAGUAAUGCAUCGGAACGUACCCAGUAGUGGGGGACAACCUCGAGAAAUCGAGGCUAAUACCGCAUACGUCCUACGGGAGAAAGCGGGGGACCGCAAGGCCUCGCGCUAUUGGAGCGGCCGAUGCCGGAUUAGCUAGUUGGUGGGGUAAAGGCCUACCAAGGCGACGAUCCGUAGCUGGUCUGAGAGGAUGAUCAGCCACACUGGGACUGAGACACGGCCCAG